AGUGCAUGUGGUGGAUGCCUAGGCGAUUACAGGCGAUGAAGGACGUAGUAGCUUGCGAUAAGCAUGGGGGAGUCGGCAAACAGACAUUGAUCCCAUGAUUUCCGAAUGGGGAAACCCGACCAGCAAUGGUCACUCAGAAAUGAGAGCGAACGCGGAGAACUGAAACAUCUAAGUACCCGUAGGAAAAGAAAUCAACCGAGAUUCCGAAAGUAGUGGCGAGCGAAAUCGGAGGAGCCAUGUAGUGUUAUAGUGACGAGAGAGUAGAACAAGCUGGGAAGCUUGACCGUAGAGGGUGAUAGUCCCGUAUACGAAUUCCGACAUUAAGAACUAAGCUACAAAGAAGUAGGGCGGGACACGUGGAAUCCUGUCUGAACAUGGGGGGACCAUCCUCCAAGGCUAAAUACUCGUAAUCGACCGAUAGUGAACCAGUACCGUGAGGGAAAGGCGAAAAGAACCCCGGGAGGGGAGUGAAAUAGAACCUGAAACUGCAUGCAUACAAACAGUGGGAGCGGACUAGUUCCGUGACUGCGUACCUUUUGUAUAAUGGGUCAGCGACUUACAUUCUGUAGCGAGCUUAACCGAAUAGGGGAGGCGAAGGGAAACCGAGUCUGAAUAGGGCGAUAGUUGCAGGGUGUAGACCCGAAACCGGGUGAGCUAUCCAUGGCCAGGAUGAAGGUGCAGUAACAUGCACUGGAGGUCCGAACCGACUAAUGUUGCAAAAUUAGCGGAUGAGCUGUGGAUAGGGGUGAAAGGCUAAACAAACCCGGAGAUAGCUGGUUCUCCUCGAAAACUAUUUAGGUAGUGCCUCGUGGUUGAUACUUCUUGGGGUAGAGCACUGUUAUGGCUAGGGGGUUAUUGCAACUUACCAACCCAUGGCAAACUCCGAAUACGAGAAAGUAAUACACGGGAGACAGACAUCUGGUGCUAACGUCAGGUGUCAAAAGGGAAACAACCCAGACCGCCAGCUAAGGUCCCAAAUGAUCAAUUAAGUGGUAAACGAUGUGGGAAGGCAUAGACAGCUAGGAUGUUGGCUUAGAAGCAGCCAUCAUUUAAAGAAAGCGUAAUAGCUCACUAGUCAAGUCGUCCUGCGCGGAAGAUGUAACGGGGCUAAAUUGAUAACCGAAGCUGCGGAUAGAACUUAUGUUCUAUGGUAGAGGAGCGUUCUGUAGGCCAAUGAAGGUGACUUGAGAAGGUUGCUGGAGGUAUCAGAAGUGCGAAUGCUGACAUGAGUAGCGUUAAAGCGGGUGAAAAGCCCGCUCGCCGAAAGUCCAAGGUUUCCUACGCAACGUUAAUCGGCGUAGGGUGAGUCGGCCCCUAAGGUGAGGCAGAGAUGCGUAGCCGAUGGGAAACAGGUUAAUAUUCCUGUACCGAUGUAUAGUGCGAUGUGGGGACGGAGAAAGUUAGGUCAGCCAACUGUUGGAAUAGUUGGUUUAAGCGUGCAGGUGUGAGAAUUAGGCAAAUCCGGUUCUCUUUAACACUGAGGCGUGAUGACGAUGAUCUACGGAUCAGAAGUGAUUGAUACUACACUUCCAGGAAAAGCCACUAAGCUUCAGCUAUAUAUUGACCGUACCGCAAACCGACACUGGUGGACGAGAUGAGUAUUCUAAGGCGCUUGAGAGAACUCUGGAGAAGGAACUCGGCAAAUUAGCACCGUAACUUCGGGAGAAGGUGCGCCCCGACGAUGUGUAGACCCUCGCGGUCGAAGCAGUAAGGGGUUGCAGUGAAAAGGUGGCUGCGACUGUUUAUUAAAAACACAGCACUCUGCAAACACGAAAGUGGACGUAUAGGGUGUGACGCCUGCCCGGUGCUGGAAGAUUAAAUGAUGGGGUGCAAGCUCUUGAUUGAAGUCCCAGUAAACGGCGGCCGUAACUAUAACGGUCCUAAGGUAGCGAAAUUCCUUGUCGGGUAAGUUCCGACCUGCACGAAUGGCGUAACGAUGGCCACACUGUCUCCUCCUGAGACUCAGCGAAGUUGAAAUGUUUGUGAUGAUGCAAUCUCCCCGCGGAAAGACGGAAAGACCCCAUGAACCUUUACUGUAGCUUUACAUUGGACUUUGAACAGAUCUGUGUAGGAUAGGUGGGAGGCUUUGAAGCAGGAACGCUAGUUUCUGUGGAGCCAACGUUGAAAUACCACC
Molecule: ribosomal RNA, 2134 nt
Filed under: wastewater metagenome
Description: bacterial LSU rRNA
Rfam family: Bacterial large subunit ribosomal RNA
Source: RNAcentral